GAGUCUUAAUAGGGCGACUAGUAACAUGGUGUAGACCCGAAACCGCAGUGAUCUAUCCAUGGUCAGGUUGAAGCGCAGGUAAAAAUGCGUGGAGGACCGAACCCGUGAGUGUUGAAAAACUUUGGGAUGAACCGUGGAUAGGGGUGAAAUGCCAAUCGAACGCGGAGAUAGCUGGUUCUCCCCGAAAUAGCUUUAGGGCUAGCCUCAGGGAAGAUUAUAGACGGUAGAGCACUGAUCUGGCAAGGGGGCGUAAAGCCUACCGACCCUAGUCAAACUUCGAAUGGCUAUAAUUAAGACCCUGGGAGUCAGACUGCGAGUGAUAAGACCCGUAGUCAAGAGGGAAACAGCCCAGACCGCCGACUAAGGUCCCCAAUGCUGUACUAAGUGGAAAAGGAUGUAAGACUUCAUAAACAACCAGGAUGUUGGCUUAGAAGCAGCCACCAUUAAAAGAGUGCGUAAUAGCUCACUGGUCGAGAGGCCUUGCGCCGAAGAUGUCCGGGGCUCAAGUACAGAACCGAAGUCGCGGCAGGAUUAUAUAAUUCUGGGUAGGGGAGCGUUGUAUAUCCGACUGAAGGUGUACCGGAAGGAGCGCUGGAGGAUAUACAAGAGAGAAUGCCGGUAUGAGUAGCGAAAAGAACAGUGAGAAUCUGUUCCACCGAAAGCCUAAGGUUUCCUGAGCAACGCUCGUCGACUCAGGGUAAGUCGGGACCUAAGCCGAGGCAAAAAGCAUAGGCGAUGGACAACAGGUUAAUAUUCCUGUACCGCUUCAAAUCGUUUGAGCAAUGGAGUGACACAGAAGGUAGCUUGAGCACGCGAAUGGAUGUGCGUGUCGAAGGUGGUAGGUUGCAGUAUAGGUAAAUCCGUACUGUAUAAGACCGAGAACUGAUAGAUAGACGAUACUUCGGUAAAGUCAAAUUCAAGUGAGCCAUGCUGUCGAGAAAAGCUUCUAGUGAGAGAUGAGGCGCCCGUACCGAAACCGACACAGGUAGGCGGGGAGAGAAUCCUAAGGUGCGCGGGACAACCCUCGUUAAGGAACUCGGCAAAUUGUAUCCGUAACUUAGGGAUAAGGAUAGCCGGAGGAUGUGAAGGGAUUUACUUCUGGAGCAUCAGCCGGUGGCACAAGAGAGGCCCAAGCGACUGUUUAGCACAAACACAGGUGCCUGCAAAAGAGAAAUCUGACGUAUAGGUGCUGACACCUGCCCGGUGCUGGAAGGUUAAGAGGAGGGCUUAGAGGAAACUCGAAGGCUUGAAUUGAAGCCCCAGUAAACGGCGGCCGUAACUAUAACGGUCCUAAGGUAGCGAAAUUCCUUGUCGGGU
This 1317-nucleotide ribosomal RNA is filed under the name human gut metagenome. RNAcentral's name for it is "bacterial LSU rRNA". It matches the Rfam family "Bacterial large subunit ribosomal RNA", at positions 679 to 1977 of the family's 2925-position model. The record is from RNAcentral.